GAGUUUGAUCGUGGCUCAGGAUGAACGCCGGCGGUGUGCCUAAUACAUGCAAGUCGUACGCACUGGCCCAACUGGUUGAUGGUGCUUGCACCUGAUCGACGAUGGGUCACCAGUGAGUGGCGGGACGGGGUGAGUAACACGUAGGUAACCUGCCCUGUACAGGGGGAUAACAAUCAGAAAUGACUGCUAAUACCGCAUAAGACCACAGCACCGCAUGGUGCAGGGGUAAAAACUCCGGUGGUACAGGAUGGACCCGCGUCUGAUUAGCUGGUUGGUGAGGUAACGGCUCACCAAGGCGACGAUCAGUAGCCGGCUUGAGAGAGUGAACGGCCACAUUGGGACUGAGACACGGCCCCAAACUCCUACGGGAGGCAGCAGUGGGGAAUAUUGCACAAUGGGGGAAACCCUGAUGCAGCAACGCCGCGUGAGUGAAGAAGUAUUUCGGUAUGUAAAGCUCUAUCAGCAGGGAAGAAAGUGACGGUACCUGACUAAGAAGCCCCGGCUAACUACGUGCC
This 515-nucleotide ribosomal RNA is filed under the name uncultured microorganism. RNAcentral describes it as "bacterial SSU rRNA". It matches the Rfam family "Bacterial small subunit ribosomal RNA", at positions 9 to 509 of the family's 1533-position model. The record is from RNAcentral.